This is a long non-coding RNA of Phragmites australis (common reed), 962 nucleotides long. RefSeq lists it as uncharacterized. The record is from RefSeq and is a predicted model, not a curated record. NCBI's taxonomy places the organism in Eukaryota, Viridiplantae, Streptophyta, Magnoliopsida, Poales, Poaceae. The transcript has 2 exons.
AGCACAUUUGGUGUGUUUAUUCAUACACAUUACCAUCAGCAUGGGGGUCAAACUUUACUCACGGAAGCGCAUUGGUAUGUUGCUGAAAGGAUGCUGGAGUUUCUUGAAUUUUUUUAUGAUUCAACUGUGAGUUUAUCAGGAGUUUAUUAUCCAACAUCUUGUUUAGUAGUGCAUAAUAUUGUUGAAAUUGCUACUCAUUUAAACAACUAUGAAAAUGACAAUCUUUUAAUAGAUUGUGCAGUUCCUAUGAAAUCUAAAUUCUUAAAGUAUUGGAAAGAAAUUCCUUUGUUAUACGCUUUUGCCUUUAUUUUAGAUCCUAGAGCUAAAAUUGCAGCUUUCUGUAGAGUUCUCGCAAUUCUAGGUGAUGCUCUUGGCCAUGAUUAUUCUAAUUAUUAUACUAAUGUUCGUUCUAAGUUAUUCGAAGUUUAUAGUAAAUAUGAAACAAAGUAUGGCGGAGUUCGCCUGCAACGACCUCCACUAGCACCCACAACAAGUAAGAAGACGACAACGUGGGGGGAAAUAUUUGGUGCAGGUUCUUCAUCAAGAAGUUCAGACUCUUCGUCAUGAUCGUCUACGGGCACCGGAAUUCCAACAUCCGGAGGGGAGCUAACUACCUUCAUCGACAGUGACGUUAUCAGCCACGAACAAGAAAACUUCAACAUACUGCAAUGUUUCUUCUGAGGCUGCCUUCAGUCUUACAGGAAGGAUAAUCGAAGAGAGAAGAACAAAUCUGUCAAGUGAGAUGGUUGAAAUACUCACCAUAGUAAAGGAUUGGGAACAAGCUGAAGCACGAAUGCAACACACUGCAGAAAAUACUGAGCUUGAAGAAUCAUUCCAAAAUUUGUAUCUAGAUGCUGAUGAGAACGUGUAAUUUUAAAUUUUCUGAGCUAGGUUGUACUCUUUUUUCCUUUGCUAGAAAGGUUUUUAAUGAGGCAACCUAUCAAUAAAGCUCAUUUUUAGAA